GCCCUUCUGAUCCAUAAGCAUGACGAUUGGGUGUUCAAGUUUUCUGUGACAUGUGCCACCCUCAAACCUGUCUGACUUGAAAAAUUUAAGCCAUUCUAAUA
Small nucleolar RNA from Manis pentadactyla (Chinese pangolin), 101 nucleotides. RefSeq annotates it as small nucleolar RNA U13. The transcript has a single exon. The record is from RefSeq and is a predicted model, not a curated record. Lineage: Eukaryota; Metazoa; Chordata; Mammalia; Pholidota; Manidae.